Molecule: RNA transcript, 9849 nt
Organism: Grus americana (Whooping crane)
Lineage: Eukaryota; Metazoa; Chordata; Aves; Gruiformes; Gruidae
Gene: HHLA2
Gene name: HERV-H LTR-associating 2
Exons: 9
Source: RefSeq, a predicted model, not a curated record
CUCGGGCUUGUGUGUGUGUAAGCACGGGGCUUUCGAGAUGGUUCCUCAGAUAAAUGCUUACGCAAUUUAAGGUGUGAAUGCGCUACAGCAUGCAAGCUGAGACGAGGCCUAGUGAUAGCAAAGCUUAUGUGGCCUGAGGUGUGGUAGUUUACAGCUGGGCAUAGGGAACGGUAAGUCUGGCAAGCAGAGGAGUGGUGGCUGGAGAUCCGAUUGCCUGCUGGAGCUGCCGCGGUGGGGUGGGAAAGCUGCUUCUCCCAGGAAAGCAGGAGACAGCUCGUGUGUGUACUGCUAACAUCUGCUGGGGUCUUUGAGAUCAGACACCUCCUCCUCUCGAUUCUUCCUGCAUUUUGUUUGGUUUUUUGUAAACCCCCUUCCCUAAAAUGCUUGAGUCAUUCUGUUACCAGAAAGCGGCAAAAUAAUUCACUCUUUUAAGACUUAUUUUGAAGUUUUAGAAAGCAGGCAUUCUUUAUUGCAGCGCUGGGUGCACGGGGGAUAACUCCACCUAACGCGCACACCCAAAAGACAAAACUAGCAAGUAUUUAUACUAUGUUAAUAUACAGUGCCCACCUUUCUGGUCCAGGACAGUGAGUACCAUGUGUGGUACAAAACCAGCCAAUCUUCUGUCCCAGUGUCAGUUUCCAGGCCUCUUGAAUUAGCAGCACAGUAGCAGCCACAGCUCUCAGACAUCCUGGCCAUCCUUUGCUGAUAUUGUCCAAUUGCUUGGAGAAAUAGGCCACAGCAUGUCUGUUGCCUCCCAAAAUCUGAGAGAGCACCCCCAGAGCUACAGCUUGCUGCUCAUGAACAAACAAUUCAAAGGUUUUGGUUAGAUCCAGGAGUCCUAAAGCUGGUGCUUUCAUCAGAGUUCUUUUUAGUUGUUUGAAAGCAUUUCUGGUCCCAUUCCAAAUGUUCAGAUGGUGAAUUUUUCCGUAGUUCGUAGAAAGGUUUCACAGUGAGUCCAUAAUUGGUGGUCCACAGCCUGCACCACCCCACUAUUCUAAGGAAGGUUCGCAGUUCGUGUGCGUUCUGGGGCUCUGUGAGUUGACAGAUAGCUUCUUUUCUCUCCGUGCUCAGUCUUCUUUGUCCUUUUAAAAGUUCAAAUCCCAAGCAUUUAACAGAUUCUUGUGUGAUUUGAGUUUUUUCUUUUGAAACUCGGUAACUCUUUAAUCCCAGAAAAUUCAAAAGAUCAGUGGUUAAUUGUAAGCAUUCUUCCCAGGUUACAGUUGCAAUGAAAAUAUCAUCAACAUACUGCAACACAGUCCCUGUUUUAUGUUUCCUUUUCCAGGUUUCCAAUUCUUUGGCUAAUUGAUUUCCAAAUAUUGUGGGACUAUUUUUAAAUCCCUGUGGCAACACUGUCCAAGUAUACUGUGAUUUGCAACCCAUUUCUGGGUCUUCCCACUCAAAGGCAAAUAUAUUUUGACUUUCACGCUCGAGAGAUAUGCAGAAAAAGGCAUCUUUCAAAUCUAUAAGUGUGAACCACUCUUGGUUUUAGCCCGAUUCUAGCCUCUAGUUUCAAAGGAUAUUGUUUUUGCCUUACCGGCUUCAUUCCUGCUUUGAGUUCAGUCUUUAGCGGUUCAGCAUUCUUAGCUUUACCAGGGACUUCUCCAGCCCAUACAAGGGGUGUCACUGCAUUUUUCACUUCCGUUGGAAUGCCAGUUUCUAAAAUUUUAUCUUCCUCAAAAUAAGAGUACAGAUGCUUGUGCAAGUUUAGAUUCAGGAAUUAACACCUCGAUCUCCCCAUCUUUAAAGGUGAUUUGCGCUUCCAAUUUACUCAAUAGGUCCCGUCUCAAGCGUGAUAUAGGACAUUCAGGCAUAUAUAAAAAUUGGUGAGUUACUCAUUGUUCUUCGAGCUUAAAAUUUAAAGGAUGGAAAAAGGCACGCUGUUCUGCUUUCCCUGUGGCACUCACAACGUUUACUGUAUCAUCGCUCAAUUUUCUUUGACAAGUAAUAAGUUACCCCAGUAUCUACAAGAAAAUUUAUUUUCCAUUUCCCCAGCUCUACUGUGGGGUUCUGCUGGGGACGUUUCCCCCAGUCCCCUUCAGGACCUAGUUAAGGGGAACUGAUGUGGAAAGGGAGCUGCUCCUUGAUUGUAUCGUGCCUCCUCCAGAACCUCUGGACUGAGAGGAAUAGGACCCCUAAAAUGGUCCCUAAUCUUUCCAAUGUCCCAAUUCUUUAGAAUAUGCACACUGAUUAUCUCCUAAGGUAUUCCUGUUUUUUUGUGCUGGAGGGGCCUCGCCUCUCCCCCCAUAGUAUUGCCAUCCUCCCCUGAAGUUACUGUUUGCUGAUGCUCCCUGCAGUGCAGCUCUCAGGUUACUGGCUCUUUCCCUGUCUCUCCGUGCCUGUCUUCGCUCUCUUCCAUUUUCUCGUUGCUCUUCUCUAAUUUUCUUCUCUUUCUCCCUGUUAUCAAAAACCAUCCAUGCAACCUCCAACAUCUUUCAUUAAUUCCAAAUCAUCCUCCUCAUCACGCCCGCACUUCAAACACUGUUGCCCUGUACUACAAGCAGAGCAACACCUUCACAGCCUCCCGCUGCCUUUUCCUGCAACAACUUUUUCCUAUCCCCAUUCUCUUUAACCACUUCUUGGUUAUUAUACAUUUUCCCAGCCCUUUCCAACAACUUGCUCAAAUUCCUCCAAUCUUCAAAUAUCCACAGAUGCCUGUUCCACAAAAGAUAAAUGCUAACUGCAAGGCAUCUCCCUCCUUUUCAGGAUCUUCCCUAUAAAUACCUGCCAGCUGUUUCCACAAGCAUAAAUCAGUCACUGAGAAGAGUACUUUAAUGGUCACUGGUCCCUCUGCCCCUACUGCCUGUCGCAGCAGAGCUUGCACAACUCAACCUCCCAAUCCUCCCCUCGUUUCCCUGCAAUAGCACUGAAUUUCUCAUUUCCAGCAAAAGAUUCCCCUUCAUCAGAAACAUCUUCCUCAUCUGGUCCUCCGUAUUUGAAGCACCGUUGACUGAUAUUACAUGCUGAACAGCAACGCUUAGAGAGUUUCUGAUUAUCUUUUUCCAAGGUCAGAACCAAAGGAUCUCUCGGUAUUAAUUUACAUUACCUGCUCCAUUCAGGAUGAUCUUGUAAAGCAGAGAAUAAAUCAACAUAGGGAACUUCAUCUCGUUUUCCUUCCCCUUUUAAGAAUAACAACAACUGUAACAGAGUAUCAUAAAAGUCCCAUUAACCGGCCACUUUUCUCCAUCAUUCAGUCUAUACAAUGGCCACCACUGAUUACAAUAUUUGAUUAGAUCAUCUUUCUUUGCAACUCCUCCUGGGGGUCCUGCUAUUUGCUUCCAAUUUAAUAAAAUGCACCCAAGAGGGGAUUUCUUUAAGAUCAAUUCCCUUUUAGAAGUUCCAGUUUCCAUUUUAAAAACAGGCCACAACACAGUUUAACCCCAGCUUUUUAAAACAGUAAUACACACUUACAAACACUAUAACAACAAACACAAAACCACACAAUUACGAUCACGGCUGUAUUCAACGUUCAACAGACAAACUUCCGAGCUUCGGUAUCAGGAAGGAGACUUAUCCUUCAGUUUCAAUCAAAGGGUACUUUCCCUUUGCCCCAGGGAUACAGCCCAACCCUGUGCAGCUUUCGGUUUUGCUACGACUGACAGGCGGACAACAGAAAAUCAUACUGAAAGAAUGCCUUUACCUUAUUGAUGGUCCUUGCUCAGAACUCUUUGGUCCGGGGAUCGGAGGUUCUCCCUGGGAAUCCCUCGGUGCUGGCUGGAGGUCCUGCGAUCCCUUGGAUCCGCCGAUGUUCAAGAGCAGUGUCCCAUCUGGGGUGCCAAAAUCUGUUACCAGAAAGCAGCAAAAUAAUUCACUCUCUAAGACUUAUUUUGAAGUUUUAGAAAGCAGGCAUUCUUUAUUGCAGCGCGGGGUGCACGGGGGAUAACUCCACCUAACGCGCACACCCAAAAGACAAAACUAGCAAGUAUUUAUACUAUGUUAAUACACAUAUUCAGUAUAUUUCUGAGUAGUGCUUAUCACAUUCAUGGAUUUUCCAGGAACUCAUUAGCAUAUGCUAAUGUCUUUCGCACAUGUUUGUUGGCACCUCUGGGUGGUCGUCGGGGGUCUUCAGACUCAGCCCUGGUAUCACGUAUACCUUAUCCCUCAAGGCUGGUUUUGUGAUCACCUUGUAACUUUCUUAUCUUUGUGCAUCCGUUCUUCCAAGGCUGAGCUGUUUAAAAUGAGAUUGUUCCAGAGCUUCUUAUCUUACAUCUAGUUAUUUUCUAAGUUACAGUGGUUUCCCUUUUGUUUGGUUACAUCUAUUGACCAAUGGCUCUAAUUGCUUGAAUUGAUCUUAAUAUUUCAAUAUUCACAGGUAUCAAUUCUAUCAGUUUCUCCUACUGGAUAGCACACACGAGGCUUGAAUUGUUCAGAGAAAAUGAAGCACUAAUGCAAUUUUAUUAAAGAGAAAAUAGAUUACCUAACCCUGUAGACAGCCUAAGGCAUCUACUGUUCUUGUUUCGGAUUAGCAGCUUUCUGAGAGGAGUGUUGUGAUAAUUUGUGUUUUAGGUUCUUUUGUCCUGUGCCUGUACAGAAUUUACCUCUCUCCUUGUGUCUGGUUCCUGUGCCCUGCCUUUGUAAGAGAAUUGCUGGUCUCCACUGUGACUUUGGUGCUUGUGCUCUUGUAAUGGUCUAGCACAAUCCCAGAGAAGCAUCACCACUGCUGUCGAAAUUUCUGACAAUAACUGAUUGCUUUUGUUACUCAGUUACAGCUUGCAUUAGUUAUCAUUAAAAAAUUUGUUCAACAAAGCCAGGCAAAAGAAAUGGUUAAGAGAAAAAGGUUUUUAGGCCUGAAGAGGGAGAAGUGAAUACAAAAACAUGUGGAUCACAUUACAGAAACAACUGCUUUCAUUCACAAGGCGGCAUUUAUUGGUUAGCCAAGCUCGGAUAUGUGUAGGUGUGGCUUCCAAAGAACCAGGGAAGAGAAAAAGUUCCGGAAAGCUGCAUAUUUGUUUUAGUUUUUUAUACAAAUAUAUAAUCCCUGACUGCAAGAAACACCUGAGACAACAAAAUUCUGAUCUUUUUGGUGACUUCUGAAAUCAGAAAAGUUUGACGUGAGUCUGCUAUGAACCAAAGACGACAUGAAGGGACAGAAAAUACCAUCUCCUCUCAUCUAUUUAUUUCACAUAGGUGCUACACUUUGGGGUUUUACAGAACAGGAGACAGUAACGGGGCUAUUUUCCAAGGAUUGCAUCCUCCCUUGUACUUUCCCACCUGGUGAUGAUGAAGUAAUUUACUGGAAGAAAGGGGACAAAAAUGUGCACAGCUACUACUACCAGAUGGAUCAGCUGGAAAGACAAGACCCAAAUUACAGACAUAGAACACACCUUUUCUACCAGAACAUUUCUCAUGGAAAUGCCUCCUUGAAACUUAGUAACUUGACUGUGACUGAUGAGGGCUCUUAUAAUUGUUAUGUAGGAACACAGCAAACUAAAACAGAAGUUGAAGUCACCCUGCGCGUAAGAGUUUGCUCUUAUUAUGCACUGGAAUACCAAAAGACAGACACAGAAAGGACUCUGAAGUGCUAUGCUUUUCUCACUUACCCAGCACCACGUAUAUCUUGGGUACAAGGCAAUACAUCCACCCAAGAAACAGGUCGGGAGGACACCAGGGAUGGAGUUCUCUAUUCUGUUAGAAGCGACCAGAACAUUAUGAACACAGCUGAUCCUUAUUACUGUCAUAUUCAUCUCCCUCAUGAAGAGUGGACUGGUGAAUGGAAGAUGCAAGACCAACUGUCUACUGUGGGAGGAAGUAGCAUUGUAAUUCCUUGUGAAUACAGCAGUAACACUGCAAACACCGAAGGCUUCACUGUUGUCUGGACAUUAACCAGAAACGCAGUGGUCUCAGUCCUGGCCUCCUUCAAUGGUACAUCCCACUCUUACCAGCCUCGAGUCGAGAUUAACCAAAGUGACUUUUCACUGAUAUUGGUUGAUCUUACUGCAAAUGACAGUGGAGAAUAUCUGUGUAAUAUUUCAACACCUCACAACACAAAACUUACUGUGAGAACUUUGCAAGUUGAAAAUUCAGGUAACACCUCGAAGAUUGUGCUAAAAGUGAUCGCUGUACUGUUGGCGAUAGCAGCAGUAGCAGUAGCAGCAGCAGUUGUCUCUGUCUGUAUCAAGAAGAAGAGAAAUGAUGAGCACCCUGACAUACCAGAACGUCAUGGUUUAACCCCAGCCAGCAGCUGAGCACCAGGAGGCCACUCAGUCCCCCAGAGGAGGAGUUUUCCACCUCCCCCCAGAGGAAUGGGUAGGAGAAUCGGAAGACAAAGGCAGGCAGCAAGCUGGCUGGGAAGAAGCCAACCAUUCAGUGCCUACCAGUGAUGACCAAGCUCUGAAUGAAAGUGUUUUGUCUGUAGUUUUUCCUGGUUAGAUCCUACUUUGUUAUUCUUCCUCUGUGUGGAAAUCCAGCCAUUUUAGUGGACAAAAUGAGAAGCAACUUAUGAAGGGAUUACUACAGAGAUGUUAUUAACUGGCCAUUGUUGAAGAGGACAUCAUUACGCUGUGUUACAGACUUACAAAACGUGAGGAGUUAUCGUUUCUCAGGGUUUUGGCAUUUCCAAAAGCUUCUAGGGCUGGGUUUGCUUGAAUGAUUUGAUCCUCCAAGGUUCCCUAGAAAUCAAGGUUGAAAUAUUGUUGAAAAAACCUACCGGCCACAAACUCAGCUGUCAACUAUAACUCAGCCAUGCUUUCACUUACAGACAAGACAGGGUAGCAAAGUGAUUUAGCUCCACCCCAGGGGUGGCACAGUGUGAAUGGUAUAACAGCAAGAUCGUCAGUCAAUUAUGAGUGCUUAAAAGGCCUCAAACAUUCUGCUGCUGUCUACUGUUUUGCUUUGUAGAUUUUAUAUUUUAUGCCAUCUGCCUAUGAAAGAAAUCACCAUAUCUUCCCAUGUACUGUGAAGCACGUGGGGACAUCCAAGUGAGUGUGUGUAGAAGAGGGGCUAUCAAAGACAGUGACAAGCACCAAAAUGCAUUAGAUUUGAAAGCAUUCAGAGCUUGUAAUAUUUGGGAUUUUUGGAGAUGAGAAAAGCAUUGUCUGUCACUCACAAAAACUUCAGUUUGCUGAAGCAAACUACUUUAACUGCCUGGACUUCAGGGAUCCUUCAUGAGGGGAACCACACAAAGUGAAAUGCUGAGGUUCGUGACACGGACUCACAGAGCUUGGUACCAUUUUCACAUGGGAAAUACAAAAUAGCAAAGUUGAUGACUUACCCCAGUUCUGGUAGCUGGUUGCUGUUGAAAGAGGAACACAACAGAGAGAAAAAAAAAAAAAAAAAAAAAGAGAGAGAAUGUCAGUACUAAGAUGAAGGACAUCACAAAAGAUAAAGAUUAGCAAGGUUAGAUGUCUAUGGGCACCAACACACCAGUAGGACUUUUUGAAGCCUUCCUUCAAAAAGCAUGUGUGACUGUUAUUUUGUGUUCACCAUACAUCACAAAAUAGCCGAGUGCUGUUCCUACCCAGCUUGUUGUUUUAACUGCUGAUCCAAACAUCUACCUGGUUUUGCUCUGGAGAUGUUCCACAAUGAACCAAAAGGCUAACUAACUGGACAGACAAAAGAGACUGGUGCCAGGUAGUAAGAAUAAAAGGAUGUAAAUGCAAACAGACAAGUUUUAGACAAUUAGCUCGUGCUGCAUUUGAACUCUUGGAUAUUUAAAAAAAGGAGGUUAUGAUAAUGAAAAUAAAAUGUGACCUGAGUUGACAAAUUACAUGGAAUAUCUUCCAGCUGCAAUAUCUGUUAUGUGCACAAUUGUUCCAUGACCACACCAGGCUACAGACACCAUUAUGAGCAUGCAGAAAGCUGGCUCUGGACCACUCAAUCAUUUGUUGAGACCCUUGCAGGCCUCAGAUGAACAUAUGUUAGAUUUUGGUGACAAGAAUUAUACAUAUAGAAUCCAAACCUAGCUGAAACUUUGGCCUUAUAAAUAUAGUUCAUAGGAAUCAGUUAAUUCACCACAAAAGACCGUUGAGCCUUCAAGUGCAGUGAAGCUUGCAGUGAAUAAGCUCAUAGCAACACAAGAUAAAAGCAGCGUGAAUACAGUAUUCACAGUAACCUUAGAGAGCACUUAUAAGCAGAACAGCACUUAUCCAAAGAGAAAUAUAGAAAAGCUGAUUGAAAAAAAAUAUUUGUCAAAACAUUCUUUUUUUGUGGACAAAAAAGCUUUCAACAAAACAGACGUUUUGAUGAGAAACGAUAAUCCUAGUCCUUUUGAAGUCUAUUUUCCCUGUGAAAAAACCCAAAUUUCUUAAUCUUCACAGUGUCCCCAUCUUUUGACCAGAUUUAACACAAUCAGAAACAUAUUUAACACACUGUCCUGGUUUCAGCUGAGAGGGUGAAUUUUUGUCAUAGUAGCUAGUAUGGGGCUAUGUUUUGGGUUUGCUGUCCUCUCUGUGUUCCCUCCCAACUUCUUGUGCACCCUCUGCCAACCCACUGGCAGGGCUUAUGUGUUGGGUUUGCGUGGCAAGAUUUUGGUAGGGGUGGGGCUACAGGGGUGGCUUCUGUGAGAAGCUGCUAGAAGCUUCCCCUGUGUCUGACAGAGCCAAUGCCAGCCGGCUCCAAGACGGACCCGCCGCUGGCCAAGGCCAAGCCAAUCAGCGCCUCUGUGAUAACAUAGUUAAGAAGAAGAAAAACACUUAGAGAGAGAGAGCUUUUGCAGCCAGAGAGAGGAGUGAGAAGAUGUAAGAAACUCUGCAGACACCCAGGUCAGUGCAGAAGGAGGGGCAGGAGGAGCUCCAGGCGCCGGAGCAGAGAUCCCCCUGCAGCCCGUGGUGAAGGCCAUGGUGAAGCAGGCUGUCCCCCUGCAGCCCAUGGAGGAAGGAUGAGGGAGUGUAGCGAUUCCACGUGCAGCCCGUGGAGGACCCCACGCCGGAGCAGGUGGAGGCACCUGAAGGAGGCUGUGGCCCGUGGGAAGCCCACGCUGGGGCAAGUUCCUGGCAGGACCGGUGGACCCGUGAAGAGGGGAGCCCACACCAGGGCAGGGUUCCUGGCAGGACUUGUGACCCCAUGGGGGACCCCACGCUGGAGCAGUUUGCUCCUGAAGGUCUGCACCCCGUGAGAGGGACUCCAUGCUGGAGCAGGGGAACGAUGAGAGGAGUCCUCCCCCUGAGGAUGAAGAAGCGGCAGAAACAACGUGUGAUGAACUGACUGUAACCCCCAUUCCCCGUCCCCCUGUGCUGCUGAGGGGGGAGGAGGGAGAGAAAUCGGGAGUGAAGUUGAGCCCGGGAAGAGGGGAGGGGUGGGGGGAGGUGUUUUAAGAUUUGAUUUUAUUUCUCAUUGCUCUACUCUGUUUUGCCUAGUAAUAAAUCAGAUUAAUUUCCUCUCUAAGUUCGGUCUGUUUUGCUCGUGACAACAAUUAGUGAGUGAUCUCUCCCUGUCCUUAUCUUGACCCACAAGCAUUUCGUUAUACCUUUUCUCCCCUGUUUGGUGAAUGAGGGAAGUGAGAUAGUGGCUCUGCUGGGCACCUGGCCUCCAGCCAGGGUCAACCCACCACAGCUUAUAAAUUCAAACUAGCACAUUCCAAUGAAAUCCGUCGUUAUCUCGAACCCUUCGAGACACACACGAAUGCUAAAACUCCUAGAAAAAAGCAGCAGCAACAAGCUGUUCAGAACCAGGAGUGGUUUUGCUGCUGUGUCUGGAGCGUGGCGAGUUCAGGGGAGCACUGCCUUCCUGCCUUCAGAACAGCGUGCUCUCAGUAACGCUGUGUAGAAGCGUCAGUAUCUUUUCCCAACAGUUUCUCUUCCUAACCGUGCCUGUUGAGGUCUAGCGCAUGGUCUCGUGCUCAGGAUGCAGACUUGCAAGGUUAGUUGUACGCAACAGGAAAACCUCGGGAGUGUGAGAUGAAACAGCCACCAGCAG